UACGUAGGGUGCGAGCGUUAAUCGGAAUCACUGGGCGUAAAGCGCGCGUAGGCGGCUUUUCAAGUCAGGGGUGAAAUCCCACGGCCCAACCGUGGAACUGCCUUUGAAACUGUAGAGCUUGAGUGUCGGAGAGGGUGGCGGAAUUCCAGGUGUAGGAGUGAAAUCCGUAGAUAUCUGGAGGAACACCGGUGGCGAAGGCGGCCACCUGGACGACAACUGACGCUGAGGUGCGAAAGCGUGGGUGGCAAACAGG
RNAcentral lists this ribosomal RNA (253 nucleotides) under uncultured bacterium. RNAcentral describes it as "partial 16S ribosomal RNA". It matches the Rfam family "Bacterial small subunit ribosomal RNA", at positions 524 to 776 of the family's 1533-position model. The record is from RNAcentral.